CGAGACGUAGCGCAGGAGCAGCGCACGUGCUGAUACGCACGCGGAUCUGGUGCAACUCCAGACGUCUCGACCA
RNAcentral lists this transfer RNA (73 nucleotides) under Oscillochloris sp. Its description in RNAcentral is "tRNA-OTHER". Lineage: Bacteria; Bacillati; Chloroflexota; Chloroflexia; Chloroflexales; Oscillochloridaceae. The record is from RNAcentral.